Long non-coding RNA from Cebus imitator (Panamanian white-faced capuchin), 2106 nucleotides. RefSeq lists it as uncharacterized. The record is from RefSeq and is a predicted model, not a curated record. The transcript is spliced from 3 exons. Lineage: Eukaryota; Metazoa; Chordata; Mammalia; Primates; Cebidae.
UCUUCCCACUCAGCCUUCCAAGUAGCUGGGACUACAGGUCCACUUCGCUGAAGUAAAAAAUGCCCCUCUGAGGCUGCCCCCAGUGAUUCCAGUUUCCUAAUGGAGCCUAACCAGAACCUAUCUGUGUGAUCUUGGCCAAAUUAGACUGGGUGAAACAUUGAACACACAUUUGCUGCUUCUGAAUGGUGCUUCAUCUCAGUGGCUGAGCCACGUGGAUGGCAUUCGGAAAUAACAGUUGUGCUUCCACAUAGCGGUGAGCCAAUCCCCAGUGAUUCUAAAGGCUGAAUGUUCUGGUUCUGCAACCAAAUAAAUACAAUUAUAGAUACUUAGCCAAACCUGACUAGGUUUCAUUCUUUCAUUAAUUAACACAUGUAUUUAGAUUUUUAUAGGCACUUAUUUGGGCACUGCAGAGCUGCUGUAGAUCAUCUAAAGUUUAAUUCAGUACGGCUUUCCUUGCUAAGGAUCUUGUUAUGAUUAUUCUUAUAUCUUUCCUUCUGCCCAUCUCUGAAAAUUUCUCACUUCCCCUCUGGAACACCAUACUAUGAUUAGAUUCGCUUCCAGAGACUGGCCAUGGCUUAGAAAAAUGAUUCUGUUACUUGCCAGGAUCCCUGUACAGAUGCUGCCGAGUCAAAUUUAGUGCCAAAGGGAAUGUGUGCUUUAUUUGAUCAGCCUUGAUUUCUGAGCUAGGCCCUGAAAAAAGAAAACAUGGAUUUUGCCAGUAUCUAUGGAGCCAGAAAAAAGUAUUCUGAUUACAAUCUGUCCUGAUUACAGCUGUGAUGGUACCAAAUGUGGCACUCAGAAUAUCUGCUAUGCUCUCAUGGCAACCAAUUAAUUUCUGUAUGCAACAAAUGCUAGGGCCUGUUAAGUAGAUGAACUGUACAGCUUGUAAAAUACCCAGUUCUUAAGUUGGAAGUGACUUUGUCUUUGACAACUUUGCCUUUCCAGAGAAAAUCGUCUCCUACCACCCACUCAGAAUGUCAGGUUCCUCCUGGUCCCCAUGAUGAUCCAUAAAUAUCUACCCUGAGCUCAUGACAGUGAUUGGAUUCAACAUUGUAAUUGCAUAUGCCUGACUUUCCACUCUGUCAAUAGCCUCUUCUGUGGAGUAUCUCCUAGUGAUCAUGUCAUAUCCUGUUAGGUAAAUUGUGAACCUAUAGGAAGGACUGUAUCUCCUAGUUUUAUGAGCAAAGAUCACUUUUAAUUCUCUGUCAUUUUCAGAACAUAACACAUUGAUAUUGCUUUAAAAGGAUGAAACAUUGUAGGGCAUUUAUAAACUUUAAAAGUACUUUUAUAUCUGUUAUUUUAUGCAAUCCCUACAAUUAUCCUCUGAAGGAUGGCAAAUCCCAAUUUGACAAAGAAAACUGAGGCAUAAAGGCUAAGUGACUUCUCUGAAGUCACACAGUGACAGAACCAGAUUUAGGAUUCAGUUCCCUUGACUCCUAGACUCAGACUUUUUUUUUUUUUUUUGUUAAAUAUUGUCUAGUCAUAUUACUACUCUUUGAAAGUUAUUCCCACCAGAAGUGUCAUUUUAAUUAGAUAUUUCAUACCUUUAAACUCUGUAGUGUGGCUAGCUUUUACAAAAUCAUGCUGAGUACAGUCAGUGAACACUGCUUGGGUUGCCCAAAGCAGAAAAAAGAUAUAAAGAUGAAACCAUCAGACAGAUUGUAUAUAUGAUAUUUGAGAGAGGGUAGUGUAACCUCAGAUUCUCCUUGUCACCAAGUUGUGUUGAAACUCAGUCUUUAUUGCAGGAACCACUGGGUGCCUUUCUCAUGGCCACGACAGCAUGGUUUACAACAGUCUUCAAACAGCCAGGCUGUGCCCCAGAACUUCACUGGGCUUCCUUCCAUAACUAUGGAUCUGUGAGCAUCACUUUAAUUUCAGAGUGUGGAAGAAACCUUAAUAAGGAUCAUGAAUCACAUUUUACAAAUGAGGAUACACAGGGUGUAAGCUUAAGUGACCUGUUCUAUCAGGGCCACAGAGCCAGUUAAACUUCUUUAUUUCUUAACUGAGUCACUCAAAAAACAUUUAUUUAAAAACCUAUUUUGUUCUAGGAACUAUACUGGGUACUGUAAAUACAACAGUGGAGACGGGGGAAAAAAAAGAAAACAA